RNAcentral lists this unclassified non-coding RNA (320 nucleotides) under plant metagenome. RNAcentral's name for it is "partial contains 5.8S ribosomal RNA, internal transcribed spacer 2, and large subunit ribosomal RNA". The stretch from base 1 to 105 matches the Rfam family "5.8S ribosomal RNA", at positions 50 to 154 of the family's 154-position model. The record is from RNAcentral.
GAAAUGCGAUAAGUAAUGUGAAUUGCAGAAUUCAGUGAAUCAUCGAAUCUUUGAACGCACAUUGCGCCCGCCAGUAUUCUGGCGGGCAUGCCUGUUCGAGCGUCAUUACAACCCUCAGGCCCCCGGGCCUGGCGUUGGGGAUCGGCGGAAGCCCCCUGCGGGCACAACGCCGUCCCCCAAAUACAGUGGCGGUCCCGCCGCAGCUUCCAUUGCGUAUUAGCUAACACCUCGCAACUGGAGAGCGGCGCGGCCACGCCGUAAAACACCCAACUUCUGAAUGUUGACCUCGAAUCAGGUAGGAAUACCCGCUGAACUUAAGC